Molecule: non-coding RNA, 26 nt
Filed under: Mus musculus (house mouse)
Lineage: Eukaryota; Metazoa; Chordata; Mammalia; Rodentia; Muridae
Source: RNAcentral
UGAGAUUUAAUUGCCAGAGUCCUAGC